RNAcentral lists this ribosomal RNA (497 nucleotides) under uncultured bacterium. RNAcentral's name for it is "partial 16S ribosomal RNA". It matches the Rfam family "Bacterial small subunit ribosomal RNA", at positions 28 to 507 of the family's 1533-position model. The record is from RNAcentral.
GAUGAACGCUGGCGGCGUGCCUAAUACAUGCAAGUCGAGCGAACGGACGAGAAGCUUGCUUCUCUGAUGUUAGCGGCGGACGGGUGAGUAACACGUGGAUAACCUACCUAUAAGACUGGGAUAACUUCGGGAAACCGGAGCUAAUACCGGAUAAUAUUUUGAACCGCAUGGUUCAAAAGUGAAAGACGGUCUUGCUGUCACUUAUAGAUGGAUCCGCGCUGCAUUAGCUAGUUGGUAAGGUAACGGCUUACCAAGGCAACGAUGCAUAGCCGACCUGAGAGGGUAAUCAGCCACACUGGAACUGAGACUCGGUCCAGACUCCUACGAGAGGCAACAGUAGGGAAUCGUCCGCAAUGGGCGAAAGCCUGACGGAGCAACGCCGCGGGAGUGAGGAAGGUCUUCGGAUCGUAAAGCUCUGUUAUUAGGGAAGAACAUAUGUGUAAGUAACUGUGCACAUCUUGACGGUACCUAAUCAGAAAGCCACGGCUAACUACGUG